This 204-nucleotide unclassified non-coding RNA is filed under the name Hevea brasiliensis (rubber tree). The record is from RNAcentral. Lineage: Eukaryota; Viridiplantae; Streptophyta; Magnoliopsida; Malpighiales; Euphorbiaceae.
UUGCUUACUCUCAGAAAUGGCUUGGAUCUGUGUUCAGAAGUGCUUGGCAGCUGGGAAGGUUUUUAUAGGUCAAAAACCAUCUCAGAUGACCUGCAUCAGAUUAUUAGAGACCCUUCCUGUUGUUUUCAGAAGGCUUUGCCGAGUACCAACUACCGUGCUUAAUAAUGCAGUGACACAAUGUCUUCGUGAUCUGAUAGAUUGGGG